RNAcentral lists this ribosomal RNA (442 nucleotides) under uncultured bacterium. Its description in RNAcentral is "partial 16S ribosomal RNA". It matches the Rfam family "Bacterial small subunit ribosomal RNA", at positions 338 to 795 of the family's 1533-position model. The record is from RNAcentral.
CCUACGGGAGACUGCAGUGGGGGAUAUUGGACAAUGGGGGGAACCCUGAUCCAGCGACGCCGCGUGAGUGAAGAAGUAUCUCGGUAUGUAAAGCUCUAUCAGCAGGGAAGAAGAAAUGACGGUACCUGAGUAAGAAGCCCCGGCUAACUACGUGCCAGCAGCCGCGGUAAUACGUAGGGGGCAAGCGUUAUCCGGAAUUACUGGGCGUAAAGCGCUCGUAGGCGGUAUGUCAAGUCAAGGGUGAAAUCCCCGCGCUCAACGUGGGAACUGCCUUUGAAACUGGCAAACUGGAGUGUGUGAGAGGAUAGUGGAAUUCCAGGUGUAGGAGUGAAAUCCGUAGAUAUCUGGAGGAACAUCAGUGGCGAAGGCGACUAUCUGGCACAUAACUGACGCUGAGGAGCGAAAGCGUGGGUAGCAAACAGGAUUAGAUACCCUUGUAGUC